Non-coding RNA from Lonchura striata (white-rumped munia), 106 nucleotides. The record is from RefSeq and is a predicted model, not a curated record. NCBI's taxonomy places the organism in Eukaryota, Metazoa, Chordata, Aves, Passeriformes, Estrildidae.
CUUUAGCUCCUCCUGAUUUGGAUAAUAUGUGAGAUACUGCAGCAAUGGGACUUCAGUUGCCCCUGUUGACAUUGGCUCAGAGUGUUGCAUUGCCUCGGGCGACUCA